AGACAUUUAUAUAAAAGAAAGACGAUUAGACCCUAUUGAACUUAACUGUAGUUAAACUGGGSCAGUAAAUUAAUUAUUAUUUUAAUAAAAUUUAUUAUAUAAAUAUCUAAUAAAAUUAAAUAAUUAAGUUACCAUAGGGAUAACAGCGUAAUAAUCUUCUAAAGAUCUUAUUUAAAAUAUAGAUUACGACCUCGAUGUUGAAUUAAUAACCUAAUUAAGGCAAAACUUAAAAAAGGAAGUCUGUUCGACUUUUCAAAAAUUACAUGAUUUGAGUUCAGACCGGUGUAAGCCAGGUCGGUUUCUAUCUUCUAAAAAAUUUUUUACAGUACGAAAGGACCUAAAA
This 343-nucleotide ribosomal RNA is filed under the name Habronattus pugillus. RNAcentral describes it as "partial 16S ribosomal RNA". The stretch from base 16 to 310 matches the Rfam family "Bacterial large subunit ribosomal RNA", at positions 2074 to 2646 of the family's 2925-position model. Lineage: Eukaryota; Metazoa; Arthropoda; Arachnida; Araneae; Salticidae. The record is from RNAcentral.